AUGGUUUCAAUGGUGACUUUUAAGGCGUGCGUGUUUCAAAGCCACGGGCACCUCUCCUCUCGGGGACGGGGGAGAAACGGGGUGCAGAUGAAGCAGGGGCGUCCCGGGGGAACCCUGGCCCCGUCCCCAGGCCCCCGGGUGAGGAGGACCACCGGGCGGGGGCUUUUCCCGGGACGGGCCUGGAGCGCGGGGGGCGCACUCGGGGGCCGCACUCGGGGGCCGCGCAGGUCCAGGGGCGACGGGAGGCGGUCACCCCCGAGGGCGCGCUCACGCCCCGGCUUCCGCGGGCGGCAGGUCCCGGGCUGCAGGGAGAGGCCCACCUGCCCUGGACGGCCGGGCGGACCCGCGCCCGCGCCCCCGCGCCCCGCACCCCGCGCCCCGCACCCCGUCCGGGCGCAGGGGGCACCCGGUGAAGGCGGCGCCAACCUGCACCGGGAAGCGCAGAGGCAGCGCUUUGGGCUUGUUUGGAAAGAAACUGCGAGGCCGAGGCCGGUGUCAGCUGGAAGUGGAUCCUCUCCCGCUGGCUGGACGGACCCCGAGGGGGCGGCGCAGCUCCCCGCGGCCUGCCUGGAGGCGGAGGCGGUGUGCGCAGAGCAGAGGUGCCCCCGGGCCGCUGGGUCCCCGCCGGCUGCCCUCCUCCCGCGGGACGCCACUCCCCAGACUCCCCGGACUCCCGGCCGCGCUCCGGGGCUCGCACGGCCUGCACACACGGCACACACGGCACACACGGCACACACGGCACACACAGCGCACACCAGCUCAGACACAGCGCACACGCACGCACACACCCAGCGCCACACGCCAUGCACACACGCCACAGCACCACGCACACAGCCACACAGCACACCAGCGCGCACACGCCACAUGCACACAGCGCACACAGCACACAGCACCACACAGCACACCACAUGCACACAGCACACACACAGAGUAUACACACACACCACAGCGCACACACACACCACACGUACCACACAUCACACACCACACACACAUCACGCCUGUACCACACACCACACAGACACAAGAUACACAUCACACACCACACACACGCACCACACAUAA
Molecule: long non-coding RNA, 1065 nt
Filed under: Canis lupus familiaris (dog)
Lineage: Eukaryota; Metazoa; Chordata; Mammalia; Carnivora; Canidae
Description: lncRNA (ENSCAFG00040021770.1)
Source: RNAcentral